CUGUUUAUCAAAAACAUCUCCUCUUGAACAUAAUUAGAGGUCGGCUCUGCUCAAUGAAAAUUAAAUAGCCGCAGUAUUUUGACUGUGCUAAGGUAGCAUAAUAAUUUGUCUUAUAAUAGAAGGCUGGUAUGAAAGAGUUGACAUUGCCUUUACUUUCUUUUUAAAAAUUUUAAAAUUUGAUAUUUACAUAAAAAAGUGUAACUUAAUUAAAGGGACGACAAGACCCUGUAAAGCUUUAUUGAAAGUAAAUUUUUCUCAAAAAGAAACGGAGGAAUUUGCUUAAAUUGAGCUGGGGCGGCAGUUACUUAGCCAGUAAAAAUUUUAACAAAAUUUUUGAGUUUAAAGAUCUUUUAGAGAAAUAGAACAAGCUACUUCAGGGAUAACAGCAUAAUUUCUUUUUAUAGAUCUUAUAGAUAAAGAAGACUUAUGACCUCGAUGUUGAAUUGAGGAGUUCUUUUUGAGCAAAAACAAACAGGAUUGGUCUGUUCGACCAUUAAAUUCUC
RNAcentral lists this ribosomal RNA (503 nucleotides) under Eurycope sp. 5 SB-2021a. Its description in RNAcentral is "partial 16S ribosomal RNA". It matches the Rfam family "Archaeal large subunit ribosomal RNA", at positions 1892 to 2666 of the family's 2987-position model. The record is from RNAcentral. Lineage: Eukaryota; Metazoa; Arthropoda; Malacostraca; Isopoda; Munnopsidae.